GCCUGGCUGGCUUAGUUGGUAGAGCGUGAGACUCUCGAUCUCAGGGUUGUGUGUUUGAGCCCCAUGUUGGGCA
Molecule: non-coding RNA, 73 nt
Organism: Leptonychotes weddellii (Weddell seal)
Lineage: Eukaryota; Metazoa; Chordata; Mammalia; Carnivora; Phocidae
Source: the annotation of a RefSeq genome assembly